RNAcentral lists this ribosomal RNA (187 nucleotides) under uncultured Bacteroidota bacterium. RNAcentral describes it as "uncultured Bacteroidetes bacterium partial 16S ribosomal RNA". It matches the Rfam family "Bacterial small subunit ribosomal RNA", at positions 338 to 522 of the family's 1533-position model. The record is from RNAcentral. Lineage: Bacteria; Pseudomonadati; Bacteroidota.
CCUACGGGAGGCAGCAGUGAGGAAUCUUGCGCAAUGGGGGCAACCCUGACGCAGCCACGCCGCGUGCUGGAAGACGGCCCUAUGGGUUGUAAACAGCUUUUGGUCGGGAAGAACCCGGGGGUUUCGAUCCCCGCUGACGGUACCGGCCGAAUAAGCACCGGCUAACUCCGUGCCAGCAGCCGCGGUA